Molecule: ribosomal RNA, 269 nt
Filed under: uncultured prokaryote
Description: partial 16S ribosomal RNA
Rfam family: Bacterial small subunit ribosomal RNA
Source: RNAcentral
GACGAAGGGAGCGAGCGUUGUUCGGAAUCACUGGGCAUAAAGGGUCCGUAGGCGGUUUGGGAAGUGGGAUGUGAAAGCCCCCGGCUUAACCGGGGAACGGCAUCUCAAACUCCCUGACUUGAGGAACAGAGGGGAGAGUGGAACUCUCGGUGGAGCGGUGAAAUGCGUUGAUAUCGAGAGGAACGCCGGUGGCGAAAGCGACUCUCUGGAUGUUUCCUGACGCUGAGGGACGAAAGCUAGGGGAGCGAACGGGAUUAGAUACCCCAGUA